GGGUAGUUGUUCACUUAGUUUACAAAAACGAUAAGCACCACUUCUUCGCAAGUGUUGAAGCAAGCACUGAUUUGGAGGUUAUGACUGUUGAGAUCUCAUUGAGCAUGUUUGCUGGCUGUGAGAGUUGAAAUGUUGAAAUGUUGGCCUUGCUGCACCUUGUUGUUGGUUCCUCUGUUGUUAAGUGUGGGUUGGCUUGACCCCCCCAUGGAUGGUGUACACAGAAUAAUCUGAGGUGCACCAAGAGUUUGGCCACCAAGUGCCUGCAUGGCUAGAAACAGAAAAAAAAUCAUUUAAUUUCCUCCUAAUGGUAAAACUAGCUUGCGAUCUACACAAUUUAUGUAAAAGCUUAAUAUCAUUUUUGGUGUUUGGUUACUGCAUUUCCUUGAUUAAGUGCCCAUGCC
Molecule: non-coding RNA, 401 nt
Organism: Pocillopora verrucosa
Lineage: Eukaryota; Metazoa; Cnidaria; Anthozoa; Scleractinia; Pocilloporidae
Source: RefSeq, a predicted model, not a curated record